This 257-nucleotide long non-coding RNA is filed under the name Medicago truncatula (barrel medic). Its description in RNAcentral is "long non-coding RNA (MTRU_LNC003809)". The record is from RNAcentral. Lineage: Eukaryota; Viridiplantae; Streptophyta; Magnoliopsida; Fabales; Fabaceae.
AUUCAAAAUCGAACCUUUUGAACUCAGUGAUGGAGGAGAAUCAGAAGAUUGAGUUGAGAAUUUGAAAUCGCUGACGGUGAAGGACGGUUGAGAAUCGUUAAUCCAUCUGAAGGACCUGAAAAGUUGUCGUUGGUGGCGCCGCCGAUGGUUUGGAAGAUCGGUGAUAGGUUGUGUGAAGAAGCCGAAGCAGUUUUGGAUGAAGAGGAGGCGGUGAAGGAGUCUGUUUGGAUGGAGUGUGAAGAGGAGAUGGUGAGAUG